UAUUGAGUUGGCCAAAAAGUUUGUUCAGGUUUUUCUGUAAGAUGUAAUGAAAAACCCAAAUGAACUUUUUGGCCAGCCCAGUA
Molecule: microRNA precursor, 83 nt
Filed under: Ovis aries (sheep)
Lineage: Eukaryota; Metazoa; Chordata; Mammalia; Artiodactyla; Bovidae
Description: miRNA (ENSOARG00000024030.1)
Source: RNAcentral